AGCCCAGAGCCUGAAUCAGUGUGUGUGUUAGUGGAAGCGUCUGGAAAGGCGCGCGAUACAGGGUGACAGCCCCGUACACAAAAAUACACAUAUUGUGAGCUCGAUGAGUAGGGCGGGACACGUGGUAUCCUGUCUGAAUAUGGGGGGACCAUCCUCCAAGGCUAAAUACUCCUGACUGACCGAUAGUGAACCAGUACCGUGAGGGAAAGGCGAAAAGAACCCCGGCGAGGGGAGUGAAAAAGAACCUGAAACCGUGUACGUACAAGCAGUGGGAGCACGCUUAGGCGUGUGACUGCGUACCUUUUGUAUAAUGGGUCAGCGACUUAUAUUCUGUAGCAAGGUUAACCGAAUAGGGGAGCCGAAGGGAAACCGAGUCUUAACUGGGCGUUAAGUUGCAGGGUAUAGACCCGAAACCCGGUGAUCUAGCCAUGGGCAGGUUGAAGGUUGGGUAACACUAACUGGAGGACCGAACCGACUAAUGUUGAAAAAUUAGCGGAUGACUUGUGGCUGGGGGUGAAAGGCCAAUCAAACCGGGAGAUAGCUGGUUCUCCCCGAAAGCUAUUUAGGUAGCGCCUCGUGAAUUCAUCUCCGGGGGUAGAGCACUGUUUCGGCAAGGGGGUCAUCCCGACUUACCAACCCGAUGCAAACUGCGAAUACCGGAGAAUGUUAUCACGGGAGACACACGGCGGGUGCUAACGUCCGUCGUGAAGAGGGAAACAACCCAGACCGCCAGCUAAGGUCCCAAAGUCAUGGUUAAGUGGGAAACGAUGUGGGAAGGCCCAGACAGCCAGGAUGUUGGCUUAGAAGCAGCCAUCAUUUAAAGAAAGCGUAAUAGCUCACUGGUCGAGUCGGCCUGCGCGGAAGAUGUAACGGGGCUAAACCAUGCACCGAAGCUGCGGCAGCGACGCUUAUGCGUUGUUGGGUAGGGGAGCGUUCUGUAAGCCUGUGAAGGUGUGCUGUGAGGUAUGCUGGAGGUAUCAGAAGUGCGAAUGCUGACAUAAGUAACGAUAAAGCGGGUGAAAAGCCCGCUCGCCGGAAGACCAAGGGUUCCUGUCCAACGUUAAUCGGGGCAGGGUGAGUCGACCCCUAAGGCGAGGCCGAAAGGCGUAGUCGAUGGGAAACAGGUUAAUAUUCCUGUACUUGGUGUUACUGCGAAGGGGGGACGGAGAAGGCUAUGUUGGCCGGGCGACGGUUGUCCCGGUUUAAGCGUGUAGGCUGGUUUUCCAGGCAAAUCCGGAAAAUCAAGGCUGAGGCGUGAUGACGAGGCACUACGGUGCUGAAGCAACAAAUGCCCUGCUUCCAGGAAAAGCCUCUAAGCAUCAGGUAACAUCAAAUCGUACCCCAAACCGACACAGGUGGUCAGGUAGAGAAUACCAAGGCGCUUGAGAGAACUCGGGUGAAGGAACUAGGCAAAAUGGUGCCGUAACUUCGGGAGAAGGCACGCUGAUAUGUAGGUGAAGCGACUUGCUCGUGGAGCUGAAAUCAGUCGAAGAUACCAGCUGGCUGCAACUGUUUAUUAAAAACACAGCACUGUGCAAACACGAAAGUGGACGUAUACGGUGUGACGCCUGCCCGGUGCCGGAAGGUUAAUUGAUGGGGUCAGCGCAAGCGAAGCUCUUGAUCGAAGCCCCGGUAAACGGCGGCCGUAACUAUAACGGUCCUAAGGUAGCGAAAUUCCUUGUCGGGUAAGUUCCGACCUGCACGAAUGGCGUAAUGAUGGCCAGGCUGUCUCCACCCGAGACUCAGUGAAAUUGAACUCGCUGUGAAGAUGCAGUGUACCCGCGGCAAGACGGAAAGACCCCGUGAACCUUUACUAUAGCUUGACACUGAACAUUGAGCCUUGAUGUGUAGGAUAGGUGGGAGGCUUGGAAGUGUGGACGCCAGUCUGCAUGGAGCCGACCUUGAAAUACCACCCUUUAAUGUUUGAUGUUCUAACGUUGACCCGUAAUCCGGGUUGCGGACAGUGUCUGGUGGGUAGUUUGACUGGGGCGGUCUCCUCCUAAAGAGUAACGGAGGAGCACGAAGGUUGGCUAAUCCUGGUCGGACAUCAGGAGGUUAGUGCAAUGGCAUAAGCCAGCUUGACUGCGAGCGUGACGGCGCGAGCAGGUGCGAAAGCAGGUCAUAGUGAUCCGGUGGUUCUGAAUGGAAGGGCCAUCGCUCAACGGAUAAAAGGUACUCCGGGGAUAACAGGCUGAUACCGCCCAAGAGUUCAUAUCGACGGCGGUGUUUGGCACCUCGAUGUCGGCUCAUCACAUCCUGGGGCUGAAGUAGGUCCCAAGGGUAUGGCUGUUCGCCAUUUAAAGUGGUACGCGAGCUGGGUUUAGAACGUCGUGAGACAGUUCGGUCCCUAUCUGCCGUGGGCGCUGGAGAACUGAGGGGGGCUGCUCCUAGUACGAGAGGACCGGAGUGGACGCAUCACUGGUGUUCGGGUUGUCAUGCCAAUGGCACUGCCCGGUAGCUAAAUGCGGAAGAGAUAAGUGCUGAAAGCAUCUAAGCACGAAACUUGCCCCGAGAUGAGUUCUCCCUGACUCCUUGAGAGUCCUGAAGGAACGUUGAAGACGACGACGUUGAUAGGCCGGGUGUGUAAGCGCAGCGAUGCGUUGAGCUAACCGGUACUAAUGAACCGUGAGGCUUAACCUUACAACGCCGAAG
This 2652-nucleotide ribosomal RNA is filed under the name Escherichia coli. RNAcentral's name for it is "partial 23S ribosomal RNA". It matches the Rfam family "Bacterial large subunit ribosomal RNA", at positions 296 to 2925 of the family's 2925-position model. Lineage: Bacteria; Pseudomonadati; Pseudomonadota; Gammaproteobacteria; Enterobacterales; Enterobacteriaceae. The record is from RNAcentral.